UCUUGAACUAAACCACCUCUCCUCAGACCUCUCCCCGCUACUCCAUUGUUUUCGCCAUCAUUCCAGCUUCUUCCCUUAUUUUCUUUCGGCAAAAAAAGAUCUAGAGAAACUCAGAGCCCGUGUCAGUUAAGUACAAAGCAGGAGAGAUCGACAAUGAUUCUUGUGCUCCACCCAAACAUCUUCAAAGGAGGCAAGCUUAAAUCUCCAUCACAUAGAUCUGAGUUUGAGACCAAGUUGCAAGAUCGCUGGGUUUCAGUCUAGAUAUUGUUUGUGCCCAAGAUGACAUGU
RNAcentral lists this long non-coding RNA (288 nucleotides) under Helianthus annuus (common sunflower). RNAcentral describes it as "sRNA HanXRQr2_Chr13g0575321". Lineage: Eukaryota; Viridiplantae; Streptophyta; Magnoliopsida; Asterales; Asteraceae. The record is from RNAcentral.